UGGGGAAUUUUGCACAAUGGGGGGAACCUUGAUGCAGCGACGCCGCGUGAGGGAUGGAGGCCUUCGGGUUGUGAACCUCUUUCGCUCGUGUGCAAGCCGCUAUUUGGGUAGUGGUGAGUGUAGCGGGUAAAGAAGCGCCGGCUAACUACGUGCCAGCAGCCUCGGUAAUACGUAGGGCGCGAGCGUUGUCCGGAUUUAUUGGGCGUAAAGGGGUUGUAGGCGGUUUGUCGCGCCUGUCGUGUAAUCCUCUGGCUUAACUGGGGGUGUGCGGUGGGUACGGGCAGGCUUGGGGGCGGUAGGGGAGAUUGGAAGUCCUAGUGUAGCGGUGGAAUGCGCAGAUAUCAGGAGGAGCACCGGUGGCGAAGGCGGGUCUCUGGGCCGUUACUGACGCUGAGGAGCGAAAGCGUGGGGAGCGAACAGG
This 421-nucleotide ribosomal RNA is filed under the name Fusobacteriota bacterium. RNAcentral describes it as "Fusobacteria bacterium partial 16S ribosomal RNA". It matches the Rfam family "Bacterial small subunit ribosomal RNA", at positions 355 to 776 of the family's 1533-position model. The record is from RNAcentral. Lineage: Bacteria; Fusobacteriati; Fusobacteriota.